This 504-nucleotide ribosomal RNA is filed under the name uncultured bacterium. RNAcentral's name for it is "bacterial SSU rRNA". It matches the Rfam family "Bacterial small subunit ribosomal RNA", at positions 26 to 518 of the family's 1533-position model. The record is from RNAcentral.
AGGACGAACGCUGGCGGCGUGCUAACACGAUGCAAGUCGAGCGGGACAUGCGACGGAGUCAAAGUUUCGGAUGGAGACGAAGAUGUAUGUUCUAGCGGCGGACGGGUGAGUAACGCGUGAGCAACCUGUCCUUCACAGGGGGAUAACACAGCGAAAGUUGUACUAAUACCGCAUGAGACCACAGCGGGACAUCCCGCAGGGGUCAAAGGAGCAAUCCGGUGAAGGGUGGGCUCGCGUCCGAUUAGAUAGUUGGUGAGGUAACGGCCCACCAAGUCGACGAUCGGUAGCCGACCUGAGAGGGUGAUCGGCCACAUUGGGGCUGAGACACGGCCCAAACUCCUACGGGAGGCAGCAGUGGGGAAUAUUGGGCAAAUGGGGGAAACCCCGACCCAGCAACGCCGCGUGAGGGAAGAAGGUUUUCGGAUCGUAAACCUCUGUCCUUGGUGAAGAGGAAGAGACGGUAGCCAAGGAGGAAGCCCCGGCUAACUACGUGCCAGCCGCUGC